This 518-nucleotide ribosomal RNA is filed under the name uncultured bacterium. RNAcentral's name for it is "bacterial SSU rRNA". It matches the Rfam family "Bacterial small subunit ribosomal RNA", at positions 272 to 788 of the family's 1533-position model. The record is from RNAcentral.
GACAAUGAUCAGUAGGGGAACUGAGAGGUUGAUCCCCCACACUGGCACUGAGAUACGGGCCAGACUCCUACGGGAGGCAGCAGUAGGGAAUAUUGGACAAUGGGUGAGAGCCUGAUCCAGCCAUGCCGCGUGCAGGAAGACGGCCUUCUGGGUUGUAAACUGCUUUUAUCUGGGGAUAAAAAGGUCUUGCGAGGCCAACUGAAGGUACCAGAUGAAUAAGCCACGGCUAACUACGUGCCAGCAGCCGCGGUAAUACGUAGGUGGCAAGCGUUGUCCGGAUUUAUUGGGUUUAAAGGGUGCGUAGGCGGUCUAUUAAGUCAGUGGUGAAAGACGGUAGCUCAACUAUCGAGGUGCCAUUGAUACUGAUGGACUUGAGUGCACACGAGGUAGGCGGAAUGGACGGUGUAGCGGUGAAAUGCAUAGAUAUCGUCCAGAACACCGAUAGUGAAGACAGCUUACCAGAGUGCAACUGACGCUGAGGCACGAAAGUGUGGGGAUCAAACAGGAUUAGAUACCCU